This 253-nucleotide ribosomal RNA is filed under the name uncultured bacterium. Its description in RNAcentral is "partial 16S ribosomal RNA". It matches the Rfam family "Bacterial small subunit ribosomal RNA", at positions 81 to 334 of the family's 1533-position model. The record is from RNAcentral.
CGGUUGGGCGGACCCGGGCGCACGGGUGCGUAACGCGUAUGCAACCUACCCACUAACAGGGGGAUAACACUGAGAAAUUGGUACUAAUACCCCAUAACAUCAGGACCGGCAUCGGUUCUGGUUGAAAACUCCGGUGGUUAUAGAUGGGCAUGCGUUGUAUUAGCUGGUUGGUGAGGUAACGGCUCACCAAGGCAACGAUACAUAGGGGGACUGAGAGGUUAACCCCCCACAUUGGUACUGAGACACGGACCAA